Molecule: ribosomal RNA, 459 nt
Filed under: uncultured bacterium
Lineage: Bacteria
Description: bacterial SSU rRNA
Rfam family: Bacterial small subunit ribosomal RNA
Source: RNAcentral
GACGAACGCUGGCGGCGUGCUUAACACAUGCAAGUCGAGCGGAAAGGCCCACUUGUGGGUACUCGAGCGGCGAACGGGUGAGUAUCACGUGAGUAAUCUGCCCUUCACUUCGGGAUAGCCUUGGGAAACUGAGAUUAAUACCGGAUAGGACUCUUGCCUGCAUGGGUGGGGGUGGAAAGUUUUUUCGGUGGAGGAUGUGCUCGCGGCCUAUCAGCUUGAUGGUGGGGUAAUGGCCUACCAUGGCUUUGACGGGUAGCCGGCCUGAGAGGGUGUUCGGCCACACUGGGACUGAGAUACGGCCCAGACUCCUACGGGAGGCAGCAGUGGGGAAUAUUGCACAAUGGGCGCAAGCCUGACGCAGCGACGCCGCGUGGGGGAUGAAGGUCUUCGGAUUGUAAAGCUCUUUCAGUGGGGAAGAUAAUGACUGUACCCACAGAAGAAGCCCCGGCUAACUCCGUG